Molecule: unclassified non-coding RNA, 402 nt
Filed under: soil metagenome
Description: partial contains 5.8S ribosomal RNA, internal transcribed spacer 2, and large subunit ribosomal RNA
Rfam family: 5.8S ribosomal RNA (bases 1-121)
Source: RNAcentral
GAUGAAGAACGCAGCGAAAUGCGAUAAGUAAUGUGAAUUGCAGAAUUCAGUGAAUCAUCGAAUCUUUGAACGCACCUUGCGCCCUUUGGCUAUUCCGAAGGGCAUGCCUGUUUGAGUAUCAUGAACACCUCAACUCUCAUGGUUUGCCAUGAUGAGCUUGGACUCUGGGGGUCUUGCUGGCCUAUGGUCAGCUCCUCUCAAAUAAAUCAGCUUGCCAGUGUUUGGUGGCAUCACAGGUGUGAUAACUAUCUACGCUUGUGGUUUUCCAUCCGGUAACCUUCAGUGAUGGAGGUUCGCUGGAGCUCAUAAAUGUCCCUCCUCAGCGAGGACAGCUUUUUGAACGUUUGAUCUCAAAUCAGGUAGGACUACCCGCUGAACUUAAGCAUAUCAAUAAGCGGAGGA